Molecule: long non-coding RNA, 308 nt
Organism: Lolium rigidum
Lineage: Eukaryota; Viridiplantae; Streptophyta; Magnoliopsida; Poales; Poaceae
Exons: 4
Source: RefSeq, a predicted model, not a curated record
UUAGGCUGAUGCGGAGACAACAAAGUGUACGUGCAGAUGACGCUGCGGCCACUGAACCCGGAUUUCACAUAGAAGCCUCCUUCUCAGGAGCUAAUUGCACAGGAUAUCUGUGCUUAAUUCUCUUUGCUUCAUGUUGGGGUGUUGCGCUUUUACUCCCAAAGUACCGAGCUGGGUGAUGAAGCACUUAAGGCACCAGAACCAUUAAAGAGCACUUGGGAGAUAUCUGCAAACAAAUGAUUGAUGGUGAUGUUUCGAUGUGGUGAUUCUCGCUGGGUAUUAUUGAUUCUAUCAUUCAAGAAAUCAAGGUA